This 72-nucleotide transfer RNA is filed under the name Chelonia mydas (Green sea turtle). It matches the Rfam family "tRNA". From Rfam's summary of the family: Transfer RNA (tRNA) molecules are approximately 80 nucleotides in length. Their secondary structure includes four short double-helical elements and three loops (D, anti-codon, and T loops). Further hydrogen bonds mediate the characteristic L-shaped molecular structure. tRNAs have two regions of fundamental functional importance: the anti-codon, which is responsible for specific mRNA codon recognition, and the 3' end, to which the tRNAs corresponding amino acid is attached (by aminoacyl-tRNA synthetases). tRNAs cope with the degeneracy of the genetic code in two manners: having more than one tRNA (with a specific anti-codon) for a particular amino acid; and 'wobble' base-pairing, i.e. permitting non-standard base-pairing at the 3rd anti-codon position. The record is from Rfam by way of RNAcentral. Lineage: Eukaryota; Metazoa; Chordata; Testudines; Cheloniidae.
GACUGUAUGGCCCAGUGGUUAGGGCACUGGACUAGAAUCCAGGAGACCUAGUGUCUACUCCUGAUUCAGCCA